RNAcentral lists this ribosomal RNA (438 nucleotides) under uncultured bacterium. RNAcentral describes it as "bacterial SSU rRNA". It matches the Rfam family "Bacterial small subunit ribosomal RNA", at positions 958 to 1394 of the family's 1533-position model. The record is from RNAcentral.
AACGCGAAGAACCUUACCCAGGCUCGAAAUACAGAGGGCGAUAUCAGAAAUGGUAUCUUCCGCAAGGACCUCUGCAUAGGUGCUGCAUGGCUGUCGUCAGCUCGUGUCGUGAGAUGUUGGGUUAAGUCCCGCAACGAGCGCAACCCUUGUCCUGUGUUGCCACUCCCCUUAAAAGGAAGCACUCGCAGGAGACCGCCAGCGAUAAGCUGGAGGAAGGUGGGGAUGAUGUCAAGUCAUCAUGGCCUUUAUGUCCAGGGCUACACACGUGCUACAAUGGGCGGUACAAAGCGCUGCAAACCCGCGAGGGGGAGCUAAUCGCAAAAAACCGUUCUCAGUUCGGAUCGCAGGCUGCAACUCGCCUGCGUGAAGCUGGAAUCGCUAGUAAUGGCGUAUCAGAAUGAUGCCGUGAAUACGUUCCCGGGCCUUGUACACACCGCA